This 460-nucleotide ribosomal RNA is filed under the name uncultured bacterium. RNAcentral describes it as "partial 16S ribosomal RNA". It matches the Rfam family "Bacterial small subunit ribosomal RNA", at positions 338 to 795 of the family's 1533-position model. The record is from RNAcentral.
CCUACGGGGGGCAGCAGUGAGGAAUAUUGGUCAAUGGGCGCGAGCCUGAACCAGCCAAGUCGCGUGAGGGAUGACGGCCCUACGGGUUGUAAACCUCUUUUGCCGGGGAGCAACGGGCGCCACGUGUGGCGCCACUGAGAGUACCCGGAGAAAAAGCAUCGGCUAACUCCGGGCCAGCAGCCGCGGUAAUACGGGGGAUGGGAGCGUUAUCCGGAUUUAUGGGGUUUAAAGGGUGGGUAGGGGGAUCGUUAGGUCGGUGGGAAAAUUGAGGGCCUAACCCUCUUACCGCCAUUGAAACUGGCGUCCUUGAGUGGAAGAGAGGUAGGCGGAAUGCGUGGUGUAGCGGUGAAAUGCAUAGAUAUCACGCAGAACCCCGAUUGCGAAGGCAGCAUGCCGGCCUCUGACUGACGCUGAAGCACGAAAGCGUGGGGAUCGAACAGGAUUAGAUACCCCAGUAGUC